This is a long non-coding RNA of Amphimedon queenslandica, 430 nucleotides long. RefSeq lists it as uncharacterized. The transcript has 5 exons. The record is from RefSeq and is a predicted model, not a curated record. Lineage: Eukaryota; Metazoa; Porifera; Demospongiae; Haplosclerida; Niphatidae.
UGUGUGUUACUACUUCAUGUACAAUUACAGCUGGCUCUUAUUAACUCACCUCUAUGUGGUGAAGAGGCUGCUUUCUGAACGAUUUCAAGUUGAAUCUGUUUUUCAGUCAUUCAAUAGUGAGAGACUGUAUAUAUCUUAAUAUAUCACCAAUUGAUGGCACCUCAUUGAAAUGCCUCCUCCACUCAAGGGGUAUCAGUAAUCGUUAUAUUGGGAAGAUUGCAAUGCUAGCCAAGUCAAGGGAAGAUCUGGACCACUUACAUAGGAUCUGUGUUACUGAGAUGAUACUAAGAAGAGAUUCAGGAAGCUUUUAUUAAUGACUCCAUUGAACUGUGUGUCAGCCAAUGUGGCUUAUUUCCUCAACUGUUUACUAACUGAUACUGAAGAGAUUGUUUCUGAUGAAGUUGCUGCUACAAAAAAGAAGUCCAAGAAG